UAUGUUGAAAACUAUCUUCUUUCCUAUUUCUCUUUCUCAUGAGUUGCCCACCUUGGGCACAGAAGGUGCUCCAGGGGAAUGAUCAUUCAUUGAUGUGGAUGGAGGAGUCUCUGAAAAAAGUCUUGGUGGAUGUCAGGGUGUCAUGCUCAGGAACAAUCUGGAAUAGAUUUCCUGCAUUCUACUCUCUGUCUCCCAUCUGCUUCCUGGGAACUCCGCCCAUGACAGUUGGUGCUGAGAGUGGUUUGAGAAGCAAAAUCUAAGACUUGAAUGAGAAGAUCAUUUUCUAAGUAACAGAAUUAAUUCCAGAAGAUACAAAGAUAUGAAAGAGAACAACCACCACAAAAGAAAUGGAAAAGAUUAAUAAAG
Long non-coding RNA from Capra hircus (goat), 366 nucleotides. RefSeq lists it as uncharacterized. Lineage: Eukaryota; Metazoa; Chordata; Mammalia; Artiodactyla; Bovidae. The record is from RefSeq and is a predicted model, not a curated record. The transcript has 3 exons.